Molecule: ribosomal RNA, 379 nt
Filed under: uncultured bacterium
Lineage: Bacteria
Description: bacterial SSU rRNA
Rfam family: Bacterial small subunit ribosomal RNA
Source: RNAcentral
AACGAACGCUGGCGGCAGGCCUAACACAUGCAAGUCGAACGAGAUCUUCGGAUCUAGUGGCGGACGGGUGAGUAACGCGUGGGAACGUGCCCUUCUCUACGGAAUAGUCCUGGGAAACUGGGUUUAAUACCGUAUACGCCCUUCGGGGAAAGGAAAUUCCGGGAAGGAUCGGCCCGCGUUGGAUUAGGUAGUUGGUGGGGUAAUGGCCUACCAAGCCGACGAUCCAUAGCUGGUUUGAGAGGAUGAUCAGCCACACUGGGACUGAGACACGGCCCAGACUCCUACGGGAGCAGCAGUGGGGAAUCUUAGACAAUGGGGGCAACCCGUGACUCUAGCCAAUGCCGCGUGAGUGACGAAGGCCCUAAGGGUCGUAAAAGCU